This 339-nucleotide unclassified non-coding RNA is filed under the name soil metagenome. RNAcentral describes it as "partial contains 5.8S ribosomal RNA, internal transcribed spacer 2, and large subunit ribosomal RNA". The stretch from base 1 to 120 matches the Rfam family "5.8S ribosomal RNA", at positions 35 to 154 of the family's 154-position model. The record is from RNAcentral.
GAUGAAGAACGCAGCGAAAUGCAAUACGUAGUGUGAAUUGCAGAAUUCAGUGAAUCAUCGAAUCUUUGAACGCACAUUGCACCUCUCGGUAUUCCGGGAGGUAUGCCUGUUCGAGCGUCAUUUGUACCCUCAAGCUCUGCUUGGUGUUGGGUGUUUGUUCCGCCUCUGUGUGUGAACUCGCCUCAAAACAAUUGGCAGCCGGCGUACUUGUUUCGGAGCGCAGCACAUUUUGCGAUCCAGAUCAACGUACAGCGGCAUCCAAGAAGCCUUAUUUAACGCUCUUGACCUCGGAUCAGGUAGGGAUACCCGCUGAACUUAAGCAUAUCAAUAAGCGGAGGA